GUUCGUUUUGAAGCAUGUUCUGUCAACUGCGGGACCUUAUAUAGACAGAUGUGUUCCUUCUCCCGAGUGGUGCAGUGGUCUAAGGCACUGUAUCUCAGUGCAAGAGAAGUCACUACAGUACCUGGUUCAAAUCCAGACUGCGUCACAUCCGGCUGUGAUUGGGAGUCCCAUAAGGCGGUGCACAAUUGGCCCAGCGUCGCCAGGGUGGACUCCAAUCAAGUUGUAGAAACAUCUCAAGGAUGAUUGAUGGAAACAGGAUUACCUGGGCUCAAUUUCAAGUCUCAUAGCAAGGGGUCUGAGUACUUACGUAAAUAAGGUCUUUAUCCCUGUCAUCAUAGGGGGGCCCUAGCUGGAUACACAUGGCUGGGUGUAGUCCUGUAGAUAAUUCCCAAUGUGCUGUGUAACAGUGUACUGGUAGACCUGUGAGGAAACUGCUCUCCAGAGGCCCAGCUGCGGGUGGCAGCGUCGGGGGCCUGCAACGUCGAGGCCUGCAGGCUAACAUGCCCCAUUAGCCUGUGUCUCCGCACCCCGCUGUAACGUCUGCUCCAGUCUAAAUACCUGCAACCACUCUGCCUGUGGCCCCCUUAACGCUUUUAUUUUUUGACAUAAAAAAAAUAUAUACUCUCAAUAUCAAGAAAAAACAAACCAUGUCCGAGCCAAAAUAAUGUGUUCAAUGUGUUUUCUUUUUCAUAGAAGGGUUUAUUUUUAGGAGUGUGUGACGCACGUCAGGGCCUUGCAGGUAUUUCUCUCUGUCAACACAACUGUCUCCAUCUUGAACUUGGUUCUGGGAAGAGAGGGAGCAGUAUAGGUUGCAUUGAGAGGGUUCUCAGUUUGAAGAUUGAGGAAGCUGGCUGAGAGACAAGGCUCUUAUUUUUCAUUAGUGCAUCUCACAAAGCUGUCGUACUGUACUGGUGGUGGCUACAAAUGAAGUAUCCUGUUUCUCUCCCUCUACUAAUAUUAGACUGUAAUGAUCCAAGUUGGCUAAACGUUUUUCCUAAUGUAGUUGGAGUGUUUUCUUAUUUCACUUUCCAUGUAUGAGGCGAUAUAUCAAGAACAUGCGAGUGUGGAUGCUAUGGAACAGUAACAUUGCUUACAUUGGUUUUCUUUGAUUUCCACAAUUUGAGUUUUAGUGAUAUUAGGACACUGAGAAGGAGUGGUCAUAAUAUUGCCCAUGAGUUUAGACAUACUCAGAUAAGGCUAAUCCUCUCUGUUAUGUCAGGACUCAGGGGAUCCAGCCUGGUUCCUACAUUUCCCAGACCGAGGACUGGGGUCAAUUCCAUUUAAAUUCAAUGAAUUCAGGAAGUAAACUCAGAUUCCUAUUUAAAUUUUCCUCACUCGUCCUCGCCUUAAAUUUGAAAUGGAAUUGAGCCCGACGUGAUCAGGGCUGUUCCAACAAAGGUCAAUGCUGUCUUGUACCAGCCCAAAUCUACCACUGCCCACUAACUAGAGCAUACUGCCUGAUAACUAGAGCAUACUGCCUGCUAACUACAGCAUACUGCCUGCUAACUAGAACAUACUGCCUGCUAAGUAGAACAUACUUCCUGCUAACUAGAACGUUCUGCCUGCUAACUAGAAAGUACUGCCUGCUAACUGGAACAUUCUGCCUGCUAAGUAGAACAUACUGCCUGUUAACUAGAACAUACUGCCUGUUAACUAGAACAUACUGCCUGCUAACUAGAACAUAGUGCCUGCUAACUAGAACAUUAUGCCUGCUAAGUAGAAUAUACUCCCUGCUAACUA
Molecule: long non-coding RNA, 1740 nt
Filed under: Salmo salar (Atlantic salmon)
Lineage: Eukaryota; Metazoa; Chordata; Actinopteri; Salmoniformes; Salmonidae
Description: lncRNA (ENSSSAG00000108186.1)
Source: RNAcentral